UACCGGCGGCUCGAGUGGUGGCCGCUAUUACUGGGCUUAAAGGGUCCGUAGCUGGAUGUACAAGUCCCUUGAGAAAUCCGCCGGCUUAACCGGCGGGCGUUCAGGGGAAACUGUAUUUCUAGGGACCGGGAGAGGUGAGAGGUACUGCCGGGGUAGGAGUGAAAUCCUGUAAUCCCGGUGGGACCACCUAUGGCGAAGGCAUCUCACCAGAACGGGUCCGACAGUGAGGGACGAAAGCUGGGGGGGCAAACCGG
RNAcentral lists this ribosomal RNA (254 nucleotides) under uncultured archaeon. RNAcentral describes it as "partial 16S ribosomal RNA". It matches the Rfam family "Archaeal small subunit ribosomal RNA", at positions 474 to 727 of the family's 1478-position model. The record is from RNAcentral.